GGGAGACAGGUUGUAUUUCUGCUCGAGAGCCGACUACCAGCGCCGUCAUUAAGCUGUGUGUGACUGGAAAAGAGGAGUUGGAGGAUUUCCACCAACUUGGAUGGACACUGCAACAUUUUUACUGCUGCAGUCAGUCCACAAAGUCAAGUU
Molecule: non-coding RNA, 150 nt
Organism: Nerophis lumbriciformis (worm pipefish)
Lineage: Eukaryota; Metazoa; Chordata; Actinopteri; Syngnathiformes; Syngnathidae
Source: RefSeq, a predicted model, not a curated record